Molecule: ribosomal RNA, 253 nt
Filed under: uncultured bacterium
Lineage: Bacteria
Description: partial 16S ribosomal RNA
Rfam family: Bacterial small subunit ribosomal RNA
Source: RNAcentral
AACGUAGGAGGCGAGCGUUAUCCGGAGUUACUGGGCGUAAAGCGCGUGUAGGUGGCUGGUUACGUCUGCUGUGAAAGCGUUCGGCUUAACCGGGCGUAGGCGGUAGAUACGGACGAGCUAGAGGGUGACAGAGGAGCGUAGAAUUCCGGGUGUAGUGGUGAAAUGCGUAGAGAUCCGGAGGAAUACCAGUGGCGCAAGCGGCGCUCUGGGUCGAGCCUGACACUGAGACGCGAAGGCAUGGGGAGCGAACGGG